Molecule: non-coding RNA, 29 nt
Filed under: Rattus norvegicus (Norway rat)
Lineage: Eukaryota; Metazoa; Chordata; Mammalia; Rodentia; Muridae
Source: RNAcentral
UCAAAUGGUGAGGAAGAAAGAUUGCUCCC